CCUACGGGUGGCUGCAGUAGGGAAUCUUCCACAAUGCGCGAAAGCCUGAUGGAGCAACGCCGCGUGGGUGAAGAAGGUCUUCGGAUCGUAAAACCCUGUUGAUAGAGAAGAAAGUGCGUGUGAGUAACUGUUCACGUUUCGACGGUAUCUAACCAGACAGCCACGGCUAACUACGUGCCAGCAGCCGCGGUAAUACGUAGGUGGCAAGCGUUAUCCGGAUUGAUUGGGCGUAAAGGGAACGCAGGCGGUCUUGUAAGUCUGAUGUGAAAGCCUACGGCUUAACCGGAGUAGUGCAUUGGAAACUGGGAGACUGGAGUGCAGAAGAGGAGAGUAGAAUUCCAGGUGUAGCGGUGAAAUGCGUAGAUAUAGGGAAGAACACCAGUGGCGAAAGCGGCUCUCUGGGCUGUAACUGACGCUGAGGUGCGAAAGCGUGGGUAGCAAACAGGAUUAGAUACCCUUGUAGUC
This 465-nucleotide ribosomal RNA is filed under the name uncultured bacterium. RNAcentral's name for it is "partial 16S ribosomal RNA". It matches the Rfam family "Bacterial small subunit ribosomal RNA", at positions 338 to 795 of the family's 1533-position model. The record is from RNAcentral.